CCUACGGGAGGCAGCAGUAGGGAAUAUUGCUCAAUGGGGGAAACCCUGAAGCAGCAACGCCGCGUGGAGGAUGAAGGUUUUCGGAUUGUAAACUCCUUUUGUUAGAGGAGUUAAUGACGGUAUCUAACGAAUAAGCACCGUCUAACUCCGUGCCAGCAGCCGCGGUAAUACGGGGGGUGCAAGCGUUACUCGGAGUCACUGGGCGUAAAGGGCGCGUAGGCGGGAUAGCAAGUCAGAUGUGAAAGCCUAUGGCUUAACCAUAGAACUGCAUUUGAAACUGGUGUUCUAGAGUAUGGGAGAGGUAGGUGGAAUUCUUGGUGUAGGGGUAAAAUCCGUAGAGAUCAAGAGGAACACUCAUUGCGAAGGCGACCUGCUAGAACAUAACUGACGCUGAUGCGCGAAAGCGUGGGGAGCAAACAGGAUUAGAUACCCUUGUAGUC
Molecule: ribosomal RNA, 440 nt
Filed under: uncultured bacterium
Lineage: Bacteria
Description: partial 16S ribosomal RNA
Rfam family: Bacterial small subunit ribosomal RNA
Source: RNAcentral